This 253-nucleotide ribosomal RNA is filed under the name uncultured bacterium. RNAcentral describes it as "partial 16S ribosomal RNA". It matches the Rfam family "Bacterial small subunit ribosomal RNA", at positions 524 to 776 of the family's 1533-position model. The record is from RNAcentral.
UACAGAGGUCCCAAGCGUUGUUCGGAUUCACUGGGCGUAAAGGGUGCGUAGGUGGCGAGGUAAGUUUGAUGUGAAAUCUCCGAGCUCAACUCGGAAACUGCAUUGAAUACUAUCUUGCUAGAGGGUUGGAGGGGAGACUGGAAUUCUCGGUGUAGCAGUGAAAUGCGUAGAUAUCGGAAGGAACACCUGUGGCGAAAGCGGCUCACUGGACCACAACUGACGCUGAUGCACGAAAGCUAGGGGAGCAAACAGG